This is a long non-coding RNA of Branchiostoma floridae (Florida lancelet), 188 nucleotides long. RefSeq lists it as uncharacterized. The record is from RefSeq and is a predicted model, not a curated record. Lineage: Eukaryota; Metazoa; Chordata; Leptocardii; Amphioxiformes; Branchiostomatidae. The transcript is spliced from 2 exons.
CAUCCAAUAGGAUGAGGACCUUCCGAGCAAGAACUUCGUGAUUGGCUACUUGGACAGGUUUACAGGUGUUGAGGAGAGACCGUUCGACGACUUCACGUGGGGAGAGCUGAGCGAUGCCGAGCAGGACGACCUGGCCAUCCCGCAGCACCGCAUCCAGUACUUCAAGUACCACGACGAGAGGGUGGGAC